This is a non-coding RNA of Pan troglodytes (chimpanzee), 117 nucleotides long. It matches the Rfam family "Metazoan signal recognition particle RNA". From Rfam's summary of the family: The signal recognition particle (SRP) is a universally conserved ribonucleoprotein. It is involved in the co-translational targeting of proteins to membranes. NCBI's taxonomy places the organism in Eukaryota, Metazoa, Chordata, Mammalia, Primates, Hominidae. The record is from Rfam.
GCCGGGCCUGGUGGCUCAGGCCUGUAAUCCCAGCACUUUGGGAGGCUGAGGUUGGCGGAUCACCUGAGGUCAGGAGUUCAAGACCAGCCUGGCCAACAAGGUGAAACCCCAUCUCUA